AUUAGUGGCAGACGGGUGAGUAAUGCAUAGGAAUCUACCUAGUAGUAUAGGAUAGCCACUAGAAAUGGUGGGUAAUACUGUACAAUCCCUGCGGGGGAAAGAUUUAUCGCUACAUGAUGAGCCUAUGUUAGAUUAGCUAGUUGGUGGGGUAAUGGCCUACCAAGGCAGUGAUCUAUAGCUGGUCUGAGAGGAUGAUCAGCCACACUGGAACUGAGACACGGUCCAGACUCCUACGGGAGGCAGCAGUGGGGAAUAUUGGACAAUGGGCGCAAGCCUGAUCCAGCUAUGCCGCGUGAGUGAGGAAGGCCUUAGGGUUGUAAAACUCUUUCAGUAGGGAAGAUAAUGA
RNAcentral lists this ribosomal RNA (346 nucleotides) under Anaplasma phagocytophilum. Its description in RNAcentral is "bacterial SSU rRNA". It matches the Rfam family "Bacterial small subunit ribosomal RNA", at positions 91 to 454 of the family's 1533-position model. The record is from RNAcentral. Lineage: Bacteria; Pseudomonadati; Pseudomonadota; Alphaproteobacteria; Rickettsiales; Anaplasmataceae.